GCAUGUGUCUGUGCUGUAGGGGGGACGAAGCCAUCCAAGUGAACCCCGAAGGGCCAAGACAGCAACACCCUUCAGAUGUCACUGCACGGCAGAGAUAAACGUAUUGAGAAUAUGCAAAACCUAAGGAAACAGAAGAGGAAACUUAGUAAACGGUUUACAAGACCUGCUCCUAUUCCAG
Long non-coding RNA from Prionailurus viverrinus (fishing cat), 178 nucleotides. RefSeq lists it as uncharacterized. The transcript has 3 exons. NCBI's taxonomy places the organism in Eukaryota, Metazoa, Chordata, Mammalia, Carnivora, Felidae. The record is from RefSeq and is a predicted model, not a curated record.